GUGGGGAAUCUUCCGCAAUGGACGAAAGUCUGACGGAGCAACGCCGCGUGAGUGAAGAAGGUUUUCGGAUCGUAAAGCUCUUUCGUUAGGGACGAACGUGCUCUUUGUGAAUAAUGAGGAGUAAUGACGGUACCUAAAUAAGAAGCCACGGCUAACUACGUGCCAGCAGCCGCGGUAAUACGUCGGUGGCAAGCGUUGUCCGGAAUUAGUGGGCGUAAAGCGCGCGCAGGCGGGAUAUCAAGUCUGUCUUAAAAGUGCGAGGCUCAAACUCGUUGGGGGACAGAAACUGGUAUUCUUGAGUGGCGGAGAGGAAAGUGGAAUUCCAAGUGUAGCGGUGAAAUGCGUAGAGAUUUGGAAGAACACCAGUGGCGAAGGCGACUUUCUGGACGAUGUCUGACGCUGAGGCGCGAAAGCUAGGGGAGCGAACGGGAUUAGAUACCCUUGUAGUCC
RNAcentral lists this ribosomal RNA (450 nucleotides) under uncultured bacterium. RNAcentral describes it as "partial 16S ribosomal RNA". It matches the Rfam family "Bacterial small subunit ribosomal RNA", at positions 354 to 796 of the family's 1533-position model. The record is from RNAcentral.